Mycetomoellerius zeteki is the source of this 447-nucleotide long non-coding RNA. RefSeq lists it as uncharacterized. NCBI's taxonomy places the organism in Eukaryota, Metazoa, Arthropoda, Insecta, Hymenoptera, Formicidae. The record is from RefSeq and is a predicted model, not a curated record. The transcript is spliced from 3 exons.
CGGAGUUGAUAGAGUCGAGUUUUGGAACGUACCCCUGAAUGGAUGUUCAGCCGAUGAUGGCAACACAUGUGAGGCAAUAUAACGUAAUAUACAUUCACGAUUCACCAUGCCAUCGUAUUGCUCUGUAUACAAGUGUUCCAAUAAUAGCGAUCAAGACUAUGCAUUAGUCAGAUAACCGCGCGAUGAAACUGAACUUUAAAAAGAAAAUGGAUUGCUGCGGUAAGAAGAGGCAAAAACUGGUCACCUAGCAGUUCUCAAAAACUUUGCGAGGUACAUUUUGAGCCUUCUGAAAUCGAAUUUGUUGCUGGAUGUAAACGAGUAAAAUUUGAUUCAGUUCCACCUCGUUUUUGUACAUGUUUCUCAGAGGAUCGAAAGAACUGUCAUGUUGGAAAGGUCUUCUUUUGAUUGAACAAUAUCAUUUUUCUGGAGUUCUGAAAUUUUUCUUCU